Molecule: ribosomal RNA, 253 nt
Filed under: uncultured Anaerolineaceae bacterium
Lineage: Bacteria; Bacillati; Chloroflexota; Anaerolineae; Anaerolineales; Anaerolineaceae
Description: partial 16S ribosomal RNA
Rfam family: Bacterial small subunit ribosomal RNA
Source: RNAcentral
UACGUAGGUGACAAGCGUUGUCCGGAUUUACUGGGCGUAAAGAGCGCGCAGGCGGUCGUAUAAGUCGAGUGUGAAAGCCCCCGGCUCAACUGGGGAGGGUCACUCGAUACUGUUCGACUCGAAGGCAGGAGAGGGAAGCGGAAUUCCCGGUGUAGUGGUGAAAUGCGUAGAUAUCGGGAGGAACACCAGUGGCGAAGGCGGCUUCCUGGCCUGUUCUUGACGCUGAGGCGCGAAAGCUAGGGGAGCAAACGGG